UCGAAGCAGUCCAGAACAAAAUAUUUAUGUACCUCUUACAUCCUGAAUCAUACAUGCCAAAUUUUUUUUUUAUAUAUUUUCGUUUUGUUGAUCCAAAUAUAAUCGGUUACAAUUUCAACACUUUUUCUACAGCAAAAUAACAUCAUGUCGGCUCCAGUUCGUGGUAAUAAGGCCUCAAAGCUGAGGUCCGAUGGAAAAGUUGAAAAGCUCGCACCCAUUGGUCCUUCUUGGAGCCUUAAAUCGUGGCUCCGAACCCACCAGUCGCGAUACCAGUCCCAGUCGCAUCCCGACCAUCCGCAGACCCAGUGCCAUCCCGACCAGUAGCAUACCGAUCCCCAGGCUUGCGGGUGGCCCGACGAGAAACACUUCCCCAGUUUUGGCUCUAAACGCCCUGAUCGCGUGAUUUGGUCGAUCCCUUUUUCCGGCUCUGUGUGAAUAUCAUGUAACCUUGAACAUGAGAAUGGGGCAACAGCUGUGUGGCCACAGGGGAAACAGCAGUCAAUGAUACGUCUAUUGGACAGGGUGUGUUCUCCGCGGAGCUGUUUUUCACCAAAAUUAACAUCAUGUCGGCUCCAGUUCGUGGUACUAAGGCCUCAAAGCUGAGGUCCAAGGGAAAAAUUGAAAAGCCCGCACCCAUUGGUCCUUCUUGGGCAUUGCUUAUGGCCAGGUAUAUUCCACCGCGAUGGCUACCACCUGGCCAGUUUUAGUGAGGUCCUGUCCUGGACUUAUUGCCUGGUGGAAUGGGGCAGCAACUGUGUGGCCACAGGAGAUUCCAAUGAUACGUCUAUUGGCAGGGUGUGUUCAUCGCGGAGCUGCUCUUCACGCAUUGAUUAUGGCCAGGUAUAUUCCACCGCUAUGGCUACCACCUACUAUGCCUGUAUUAUGGUAUUGACCAUCCGGUAUUUGGUGGCCAGUUUUAGUGAGGUCCUGUCCUGGACUUAUUGCCUGGUGGAAUGGGGCAGCAGCUGUGUGGCCAAUGAUACGUCUAUUGGCAGGGUGUGUUCUCCGUGGAGCUGUUCUUCAUAGAAACUGUACUCAGGGAACCCUAAACUUUGGAGGACAAUGGUCUAGGAACUCCCAGCUGGGAUCUGGUAUUGGUUCUCUUAGCCACUUGGGUUAUCAUCGGAACCAUUUUGUCUAAAGGCACUACAAGCUCAGGCUUCUUAUAUUCUGACCCUAUUUCCCUUCCGUUUAUCCAAAGCUUCCCAGCUGGGAUCUAGUAUUGUACCAUUUAGCCUUGUAUUCUGGCCCUGUUUUCCUAUUUGAUUUUGUUAGUCCUUUCGAUCUGCGCGGUUACAGUGAAUUUGAAUGCAAGUUUUGACCACAGACGACCACAUUCCACUUUCGCCCCCCAUAUUGCAGGCCUUCCGUUUAUCCAAAGCUUCGCAUUUGUUGAUAGUGCUCAUAUGUUUUCAUACUCCCAUUCUAAGCAAAGUAGCCUGGAAAACACCGGGUACAGUGGUAAAAGUUAUAUUUAUAGUGGGCUAUGCUUUAUCAUUCAGUAUACUUCAAAAGUCGAAGCAGUCCAGAACAAAAUAUUUAUGUACCUCUUACAUCCUGAAUCAUACAUGCCAAAUAUAAUCGGUUACAAUUUCAACACUUUUUCUACAGCAAAAUAACACCAUUUCGGCUCCAGUUCGUGGUAAUAAGGCCUCAAAGCUGAGGUCCGAGGGAAAAGUUGAAAAGCCCGCACCCAUUGGUCCUUUUUGGGCUUACUUUAAUAGUGGCUCCGAACCCACCAGUCGCGAUACCAGUCCCAGUCGCAUCCCGACCAUCCGCAGACCCAGUUCCAUCCCGACCAGUAGCAUACCGAUCCCCAGGCUUGCGGGUGGCCCGACGAGAAACACUUCCCCAGUUUUGGCUCUAAUCGUCCUGAUCGCGUGAUUUGGUCGAUCCCUUUUUCCGGCUCUGUGUGAAUAUCAUGUAACCUUGAACUUGAGAAUGGGGCAGCAGCUGUGUGGCCACAGGGGAAACAGCAGUCAAUUAAACGUCUAUUGGACAGGGUGUGUUCUCCGCGGAGCUGUUUCUCACCAAAAUAUCAUCAUGUCGGCUCCAGUUCGUGGCCUCAAAGCUGAUGUCCGAGGGAAAAGUUGAAAAGCCCGCACCCAUUGGUUCUUCUUGGGCUCUUACUUCCACCCGAGGCAGAGCCUUUAAUCGUGGCUUCGAACCCACCAGUCGCGAUACCAGUCCCAGUCGCAUCCCGCCCAUCCGCAGACCCAGAUCAAUCCCGACCAGUCGCAGGCUUGCGAGUGACCCGAAUAGAAACACUUCCCCAGUUCGGGCCACUCCCUUGGAAGAAGAAUACAGUGGGCGAUCAUGAACGUAAACCUAAAGUGGACGAGGACUCUGUCAAGCGGACUAAAUGUUUGCCGUGCCCAAGGGCUAAGUCAACGACGGAAGCUGUAUUCCAGCCGUCCUCGAGAAAGGAAAAAUCGCAUCACCGGGUAAUCGAGUUAAACAAGGUGCGAGGCUUGGAGAUGCAGCACAAGAAGCUGGAGAACUUGCAGUCGGAGUUCAUGCACAAAAUCCGCACCUUGGCACCCCAAAAGCUUCAAGGAGUCUACAAGUUUGUGGCCGUGGUGGUGAACGAGAAGUGCAAAGUCGUUGUUCACGACUACGAUCUGCACCGAUUGCCCAAGAAUCUGCGUAAUAAGGCCUCAAAGCUGAGGUCCAAGGGAAAAGUUUAAAAGCCCGCACCCAUUGGUCCUUCUUGGGCUCUUACUUCCACCCGAUACCAGUCCCAGUCGCAUCCCGACCAUCCGCAGACCCAGAUCAAUCCCGACCAGUCGCAUACCUAUCCGCAGGCUUGCAGGUGACCCGAAGAGAAACACUUCCCCAGUUCGGGCCACUCCCUUGGAGGCAGUAACCAGGGACAGUGCGUGUUACUUGCCCUUGCUUCUAGCCUCCGAGAAUACAGUGGGCGAUCAUGAACGUAAACCUGAAGUGGACAAGGACUCUGUCAAGCGGACUAAAUGUAUGCCGCGCCCAAAAGCUAAGUCAACGACGGAAGCUGGUGAGUAGCUGCUGACUCAAUUCCCGAUUUGAUUGAACAAGGUGCGAGGCUUGGAGAUGCAGCACAAGAAGCUGGAGAACUUGCAGUCGGAGUUCAUGCACAAAUUCCGCACCUUGGCACCCCAAAAGCUUCAAGAAGUCUACAAGGUUGUGGCCGUGGUGGUGAACGAGAAGUGCAAAAUCGUUGUUCACGCCGACGAUUGCCCAAGAAUCUGCCUCUCAAAAAUUAUUGGGCUGUUAGUACAACAAAUUGCUAGAUUUAAAAUUAAAAAUGUAUUGUUGUUAAAAAUUUUGGAUUUAAAAUGGCUUCUACUUGUUUUUAUAUAAAU
Molecule: RNA transcript, 3341 nt
Organism: Drosophila gunungcola (fruit fly)
Lineage: Eukaryota; Metazoa; Arthropoda; Insecta; Diptera; Drosophilidae
Exons: 17
Source: RefSeq, a predicted model, not a curated record